CAAUAGCGUAUAUUUAAGUUGUUGCAGUUAAAAAGCUCGUAGUUGGAUUUCUGCUGAUCGCUGUCGGUCUGCCGUCAGGUGUGUACUGGCAGUGUUUGGCAUCUAUUCGAGAUUGGGUGUCCACUUGAUUGUGUGCACUCGAUGUCGGAGCUAAUACUUUGAGAAAAUUAGAGUGUUCCGCGCAGGCGCGUGCCUUGAAUACUGCAGCAUGGGAUAUUGGAAGGCCGAUUGAGCUUUCUUGUUGGUUCUCGGUUUGAUCGGAAUGAUUAAUAGGGAUAGUUGGGGGCAUUCGUAUUCAACUGUCAGAGGUGAAAUUCUUGGAUUUGUUGAAGACGGACUACUGCGAAAGCAUCUGCCAUGGAUGUUCUCAUUGA
This 374-nucleotide ribosomal RNA is filed under the name uncultured eukaryote. Its description in RNAcentral is "partial 18S ribosomal RNA". It matches the Rfam family "Eukaryotic small subunit ribosomal RNA", at positions 592 to 976 of the family's 1831-position model. The record is from RNAcentral.